GGACAAACAGGACAUUCACUUGAAUCACUACAUGCUACAGAAGUUGCAUCGAUUCCAGAAAACCAGGAAAAUGUUCAGCCAUCUGUAGACUUCAGAGCUGGUAUGUAAAAUGUAUUGCUGUGAUGCUUAAUUUGUGAUCCUGUAACUAAACUCUACACUUUGUUAGAUUUUCAAAUUUCUGUUCCCUCUUUCUCAGAACCCGGUUUCUCCCCAGUAAUCUAGACUCCACUUCACAGAGCCAAGAGUUUGAGUACAACUCGUCAAGUACUAAGCUUUACACCCCCAGCAGCAAAUUUACCCUGGCAGAAUGUAGGUGAAAACGCUGGAGUAUUGAAAAUAGUACAUUUCCAGAGACUCCAGAAUGAAAACCAAGCCCUGAGGGAGGAGAACCAAGCCCUGAGGGAAUGCAAUGCACAAGCAGCUUUGGAUGACAGCCGCUCACUUCAAGAGCAGGUGAAGCAAGUAGGGACAAUGUUGAAGACGUUUGCUCUAACUGGGCAAUCAGGUGCGUUACCUGAAAGGAGCAUCUGACCGUGAAGGCAGAAAAAGGCGCUGCACAGCUGAGAGGGACCCACAGCCGACCCCUUAAACCUAGGCUGACUACUGACACCCCAGCAUCACUGAACUGGAACACUUUCUUUAUACUGCAGUCAGUAACAUCAAUAAGCCAG
Molecule: long non-coding RNA, 671 nt
Organism: Esox lucius (northern pike)
Lineage: Eukaryota; Metazoa; Chordata; Actinopteri; Esociformes; Esocidae
Source: Ensembl